CCCUUAGAUGUUCUGGGCCGCACGCGCGCUACACAGAUGCAUUCAACGAGUUUCUUCCUGGUCCGAGAGGAAUGGGUAACCUUUUGAAAGUGCAUCGUGAUAGGGAUAGACUAUUGCAAUUAUUGGUCUUCAACGAGGAAUUCCUAGUAGACGUAGUUCAUCAGACUGCAUCGAUUACGUCCCUGCCCUUUGUACACACCGCCCGUCGCUCCUACCGAUUGAAUGCUCAGGUGAGCCAUUCGGACUUUCAUCAUGCUGGUUUCCAGUUUUGAUGAAGGAAAGUCUUGCGAACCUUAUCAUUUAGAGGAAGGAGAAGUCGUAACA
Molecule: ribosomal RNA, 324 nt
Filed under: uncultured eukaryote
Lineage: Eukaryota
Description: partial 18S ribosomal RNA
Rfam family: Eukaryotic small subunit ribosomal RNA
Source: RNAcentral